This 447-nucleotide ribosomal RNA is filed under the name uncultured bacterium. Its description in RNAcentral is "bacterial SSU rRNA". It matches the Rfam family "Bacterial small subunit ribosomal RNA", at positions 355 to 825 of the family's 1533-position model. The record is from RNAcentral.
UGGGGAAUCUUGGACAAUGGGCGCAAGCCUGAUCCAGCCAUGCCGCGUGAGUGAAGAAGGCCUUCGGGUUGUAAAGCUCUUUUACCAGGGACGAUAAUGACGGUACCUGGAGAAUAAGCCCCGGCAAACUUCGUGCCAGCAGCCGCGGUAAUACGAAGGGGGCUAGCGUUGUUCGGAAUUACUGGGCGUAAAGCGCACGUAGGCGGAUUGUUAAGUCAGAGGUGAAAUCCCGGAGCUCAACUUCGGAACUGCCUUUGAUACUGGCAAUCUAGAGUCCGGAAGAGGUUAGCGGAAUUCCCAGUGUAGAGGUGAAAUUCGUAGAUAUUGGGAAGAACACCAGUGGCGAAGGCGGCUAACUGGUCCGGUACUGACGCUGAGGUGCGAAAGCGUGGGGAGCAAACAGGAUUAGAUACCCAAGUAGUCCCUGAGCGGGCUGGCAAGGCGCAU